Molecule: ribosomal RNA, 562 nt
Filed under: uncultured bacterium
Lineage: Bacteria
Description: partial 16S ribosomal RNA
Rfam family: Bacterial small subunit ribosomal RNA
Source: RNAcentral
UGGGGAAUAUUGGACAAUGGGCGCAAGCCUGAUCCAGCAAUGCCGCGUGUGUGAAGAAGGCCUUCGGGUUGUAAAGCACUUUUAUCAGGAGCGAAACGCUGUCGGCUAAUACCCGGCGGAACUGACGGUACCUGAGGAAUAAGCACCGGCUAACUUCGUGCCAGCAGCCGCGGUAAUACGAAGGGUGCAAGCGUUAAUCGGAAUUACUGGGCGUAAAGCGUGCGUAGGCGGUUUCUUAAGUCUGCUGUGAAAUCCCCGGGCUCAACCUGGGAAUGGCAGUGGAUACUGGGAGGCUAGAGUGUUUCAGAGGGUGGUGGAAUUCCCGGUGUAGCGGUGAAAUGCGUAGAGAUCGGGAGGAACAUCAGUGGCGAAGGCGGCCACCUGGGACAACACUGACGCUGAGGCACGAAAGCGUGGGGAGCAAACAGGAUUAGAUACCCUGGUAGUCCACGCCCUAAACGAUGCGAAACUGGAUGUUGGUCUCAACUCGGAGAUCAGUGUCGAAGCUAACGCGUUAAGUUCGCCGCCUGGGGAGUACGGUCGCAAGACUGAAACUCAAAUG